Molecule: transfer RNA, 72 nt
Filed under: Camelus bactrianus (Bactrian camel)
Lineage: Eukaryota; Metazoa; Chordata; Mammalia; Artiodactyla; Camelidae
Also listed under: 2 other names
Rfam family: tRNA
About the family: Transfer RNA (tRNA) molecules are approximately 80 nucleotides in length. Their secondary structure includes four short double-helical elements and three loops (D, anti-codon, and T loops).
Source: Rfam by way of RNAcentral
GGUGGUAUAGCUCAGUGGUAGAGUGCAUGCUUAACUUGCAAGAGGUCCUGGGUUCAAUUCCCAGCACCUCCA